AUCGGGACCCCGACGGAGGUGCCGGAGAUCCUUCGGCUACAACGCCGGGCAGAUGGGGCUCGUUAGCCGUGGUAGGCAAUCUGCCUAGGAGAGCAAACUCCGAACAACAAACCCGGGCAGGUGAGGCUCGUUAGCCGUGGUAGGCAAUUCACCUAGGAGAGCAAACUCCGAACAAUAAACCCGGGCAGGUUGGGCUCGUGAGCCGUCAUAGGUAAUACACCUAGGAGAGCAAACUCCGAACAAUAAACCCGGGCAGGUGGAGGUCGUUAGCGAAAGCAGUUCACCUAGGAGAGCAAACUCCGAUUACAAACCCGGGCAGGUGGAGGUCGUUAGCGAAAGCAGUUCACCUAGGAGAGCAAACUCCGAUUACAAACCCGGGCAGGUGAGGUUCGUUAGCCGUGGUAGGCAAUUCACCUAGGAGAGCAAACUCCGAACAAUAAACCCGGGCAGGUUGGGCUCGUGAGCCGUCAUAGGUAAUACACCUAGGAGAGCAAACUCCGAACAAUAAACCCGGGCAGGUGGAGCUCGUCAGCCGUGGUAGGCAGUCUGCCUAGGAGAGCAAACUCCGAACAAUAAACCCGGGCAGGUGGAGCUCGUUAGAUGUCGUAGACAAUCCACGUGAUGGGAACACCAAAGAAAAGGAAAAUAAAAAGGAACACCAGAAAAAGGAAAAUAUAGUAACAAAACAUCAAGAAAAUAAAAUAAAAAACACAGAUCAUC
Eriocheir sinensis (Chinese mitten crab) is the source of this 720-nucleotide long non-coding RNA. RefSeq lists it as uncharacterized. The record is from RefSeq and is a predicted model, not a curated record. The transcript has 3 exons. NCBI's taxonomy places the organism in Eukaryota, Metazoa, Arthropoda, Malacostraca, Decapoda, Varunidae.